RNAcentral lists this ribosomal RNA (465 nucleotides) under Vreelandella stevensii. RNAcentral describes it as "partial 16S ribosomal RNA". It matches the Rfam family "Bacterial small subunit ribosomal RNA", at positions 338 to 795 of the family's 1533-position model. The record is from RNAcentral. Lineage: Bacteria; Pseudomonadati; Pseudomonadota; Gammaproteobacteria; Oceanospirillales; Halomonadaceae.
CCUACGGGGGGCAGCAGUGGGGAAUAUUGGACAAUGGGGGGAACCCUGAUCCAGCCAUGCCGCGUGUGUGAAGAAGGCCCUCGGGUUGUAAAGCACUUUCAGUGAGGAAGAACGCCUGGUGGUUAAUACCCAUCAGGAAAGACAUCACUCACAGAAGAAGCACCGGCUAACUCCGUGCCAGCAGCCGCGGUAAUACGGAGGGUGCGUGCGUUAAUCGGAAUUACUGGGCGUAAAGCGCGCGUAGGUGGCUUGAUAAGCCGGUUGUGAAAGCCCCGGGCUCAACCUGGGAACGGCAUCCGGAACUGUCAAGCUAGAGUGCAGGAGAGGAAGGGAGAAUUCCCGGUGUAGCGGUGAAAUGCGUAGAGAUCGGGAGGAAUACCAGUGGCGAAGGCGGCCUUCUGGACUGACACUGACGCUGAGGUGCGAAAGCGUGGGUAGCAAACAGGAUUAGAUACCCUAGUAGUC